This 440-nucleotide ribosomal RNA is filed under the name uncultured bacterium. RNAcentral describes it as "partial 16S ribosomal RNA". It matches the Rfam family "Bacterial small subunit ribosomal RNA", at positions 338 to 795 of the family's 1533-position model. The record is from RNAcentral.
CCUACGGGCGGCAGCAGUGGGGAAUAUUGCACAAUGGGGGAAACCCUGAUGCAGCGACGCCGCGUGAGUGAAGAAGUAUUUCGGUAUGUAAAGCUCUGUCAGCAGGGAAGAAAAUGACGGUACCUGAGUAAGAAGCCCCGGCUAACUACGUACCAGCAGCCGCGGUAAUACGUAGGGGGCAAGCGUUAUCCGGAUUUACUGGGGGUAAAGGGAGCGUAGACGGCAGUGCAAGUCUGGAGUGAAAGGCGGGGGCUCAACCCCCGGACUGCUCUGGAAACUGUACGGCUGGAGUGCAGGAGAGGUAAGUGGAAUUCCUAGUGUAGCGGUGAAAUGCGUAGAUAUUAGGAGGAACACCAGUGGCGAAGGCGGCUUACUGGACUGUAACUGACGUUGAGGCUCGAAAGCGUGGGGAGCAAACAGGAUUAGAUACCCGUGUAGUC